CCUAACUGACUAAACAUUACGACAAAUAUCACGCACGCCAAUAUGUGUUGGGGGUAUGCCACAAAUUCACAUUAAAAACAAAAUAUAAUUUCAUUAUUUCACGAGAGGAAAUCAUGUAAAACAAAUAGUUUAAUAAAGUGCAUCAUUGCAAACAUUGUUUGGUACCAAAUUAUUGAAGAUUUGCUUAAUUCGAGGCCAUCAUUUCUUCACCAGCGAUAGUAGAAGGACCGGGAGCUGCAAACAUAAAAUCGAGUAUUUAAAGACUAAGUCAAUUGUUCAUAUGAAUUUUUACAAAAGAAGAGCAUAAUAUUACCAUUAUCGUGAAUGCAAGAGGUUGUAACCCUUUGCGUUUCCUCAUUUUUUUGAUAGCACCAAAUAAUCUUAAUAUCCUCAAUCCUGGAAAAAAGAUUUAAUUGAACGGUUCCUCAUCAUCUUGGAUUUCUAAUCUCCUGAUGACCAUGAAAUAAAACUGACUAAGUAAUACAAUUUAACAGCAUCAAUUCACUGAGUUUGCCUAAUAUGAAGGAACUAGGGAAAGAAUUGGAUGAUACAGUGUACAUAUUACCUGUGCGGCAGUGUGUGUGCACUGUAAUUUCAAUAUUUGGAGAAGAUCAGAAGGAGAGGCAGGUGGCAAGGACGCCGGAUCCGGCGGCCGGCGUGGCGGGGAAUCGCGAGUUGAUAACUGACGAAGGUGGCGGCGCAGGCGCGCAGCGCAGUCGAGCGAGGCGGGGGUUUCUCUGUUGCCGAUCGGAGAGGGAUUUUCUUUUUCUUGACGAAUGAGCGACAGAUCGAAUGGUCAACUUGCAGUCCGCGAUUGGUUUUCUGCUCCGAUCGAUGGACUGGAGUGGGGCUAAUGGGCUGAAGCCUUGUACGUGUACGUGAGGCCGAUGUGAAGCCUGGGGCUGGGCUUCUAUGUAUAACAAAUUCUCAAAUAUCGGCAACUAUGUGUUUAGGUGCUAGUUGGGCCACACCUGGGGCUACAGCCCCAGUUGCCCCAGGCCCAAUUUCGCCCCUGGGCUCCGGUGCGCCUAGGCCACGCCUGUGGUGUCGGAGGACAGUGGGGUGGUGGCGUGGGAGGAUCCAGGGACGGCGGCGGAUGUAUCGCAGGGCACGGCGACAUAGAGGUUGAAGCAGGGAGAUGCGGCAACCGCGGUAGAAGCAAGGGGAAGGAAGGUACCUUUGGUGGGG
RNAcentral lists this long non-coding RNA (1188 nucleotides) under Triticum aestivum (bread wheat). Its description in RNAcentral is "long non-coding RNA (TAES_LNC014707)". Lineage: Eukaryota; Viridiplantae; Streptophyta; Magnoliopsida; Poales; Poaceae. The record is from RNAcentral.